This is a long non-coding RNA of Notolabrus celidotus (New Zealand spotty), 1822 nucleotides long. RefSeq lists it as uncharacterized. The record is from RefSeq and is a predicted model, not a curated record. NCBI's taxonomy places the organism in Eukaryota, Metazoa, Chordata, Actinopteri, Labriformes, Labridae. The transcript has 2 exons.
UCUGCCUGCUGGUUGCCACAUGCUCCUUGCACUGAGGCACCUGAUCAUCUUCCCUUCUGUGAACAGCCAGCUGGAACUCAGCAUUGAUGGCAUUGAUUCAAAAUCCAGGAAAGAGUUGCUCCAUCAUUUACAGCGUAUCGUUCAGCUGAUGGCACAUUAAUCUUGUCUGCUUUCAAAGCCUCUGGGUUUCAUUCAGGAGAACAGUAGAUGAGCUGCUCGGAGCACACUUUCAGCUUUGUGAUGAUACCCUGUAGGAAAUGUUGAUCUUUUUUAUUUUAUUUUAUUUAUUUUUUUGCUUUCGAUUACACCACAUUGUCAGUUUUGUGUUCUUGAACAUGUGGCUUAUCAUUUUUAUAUUAGCUCACUUUGUUUCACCAAUCUGUCCUGUUUAACUCUGGUCCUUUAAUAGGUUUGAUAAGCUCUCUGGCUGGAGGGUCCAGGACAUCAAUUGUUCUUGUAAGAAAAUCAAUCCGCAAAGACUUAAACACGACUUAGGCAACUCAUCCAUCACAUCAUCACUUUGUGUUUUAACAGAGUUGUAAUUUCACUGCACAUUAAUAAGGACAAAAAAUUAUGUGAACAAUGUCAGUGUCAACCAACUAUGCCUGCAGCCUGAACAAAGCUGCUGAUGAAUAUUUAAAGAAGCAGAAAAUACUCCCAAUUGGUUUAAUCCAAGGGUUGUGUCAACAGACCUUGCAAAACACGAAGGACCAAGGUGAUGAUCACUGUCAUAACGUUUUUAUCUGGACAUGUAUUUGUAAUAAAGAUAAGUGGAACUCAAUAUACUGAUACAGAGAAAAGAGUUUGAGGCAGAUACACAGUGUGCAGCAUCAUCAAUGUCAACAUUACUUCUCACUCACAACUACCUGCUCCUUUCACAAAACUGCUCAAUCAGGGUAAAGUUUGUUAAAACACUGUUUCACUGAGUUGGGAGUUUAUAUUCUUAAUGUAACUCCAACAUUGGGUGGUCUUGUCUGAGCUUAAAAGUGAGAAGAUGAAAAGUUAACUGAAAAUAAAAUAGGCAUUUCUCAUCUUAACAGUUUCACUAUUAACUAAAAAAAGAAAGAAACACUCAGAGUCAUUCAAAACUGGACUUUCCUGCACUGGAAACUGGGCUCAUUGCUGCACUUGCCCCAUUACUAAAGAAUGUGUGUUCCUGUAUUUCAUAAGAGGGUUAUGUGACUCCUCUGGACCCAAACCCCAGCACGCACACACGCACACAAGCACAAUCAGUGCCUGUAACUGGGAAUGAAGUCCUAAAUACGUUUACGCAAGAAAAGAAAAAUCUGUACAUUAUAUCUAAAAGCCAUAAGUGUAUAGUGUCUCAAACCUUUCCUGCAACUUAGGGAUGUACAUGUGUAGUCGACUGAACAAUUAAAUGUCAUCACUCUUAUUGGUCAACUCCAGAAGUACCAACCAGUUAAAUAAUUUGUGUAAAAUGUUUAUUCCUGUCGGCCUUUUUAUUACUGUAGACCUGGAAUGUUUUGUCUAAGCUGUAGGACAGCCACCCACCAACAACCAGAGCUGUAGCUCUAGCUAGGGGUGAUUGCCAUUAUGCCAUAACGCUCUACCAUCCAGAUGCAAACAAGCACAGAUGGAUGGUUUAGUAGUAUUCUGAUUUAGAAUAUGGAGAUUAAGUUGUAUGUAGGGUGUUUGGUUUACAAGACCAGAGCAAUGUGUAUCCAGCAUAGACAUACAAUCCUCUGCAGGGAGGACGGAGUCCUGCUCGUGUUUGCCACACUCAAAAAACAAUUUGACAUUAUUUACACACAGACUCUGAUACUGUGUUAAUCCAUGUUGAAUAAAUUAUGCUCAAUUUCAA